CCUACGGGAGGCAGCAGUGAGGAAUAUUGGACAAUGGAGGCAACUCUGAUCCAGCCAUGCCGCGUGCAGGAAGACUGCCCUAUGGGUUGUAAACUGCUUUUAUAUAGGAAGAAACCUACUUACGUGUAAGUAGCUGACGGUACUAUAAGAAUAAGGAUCGGCUAACUCCGUGCCAGCAGCCGCGGUAAUACGGAGGAUCCAAGCGUUAUCCGGAAUCAUUGGGUUUAAAGGGUCCGUAGGUGGAUAAUUAAGUCAGAGGUGAAAUCUUGCAGCUCAACUGUAAAAUUGCCUUUGAUACUGGUUAUCUUGAGUUAUUAUGAAGUAGUUAGAAUAUGUAGUGUAGCGGUGAAAUGCAUAGAUAUUACAUAGAAUACCAAUUGCGAAGGCAGAUUACUAAUAAUCAACUGACACUGAUGGACGAAAGCGUGGGUAGCGAACAGGAUUAGAUACCCUGGUAGUCCACGCCGUAAACGAUGGUUACUAGCUGUUUGGACCUUGUGUCUGAGUGGCUAAGCGAAAGUGAUAAGUAACCCACCUGGGGAGUACGUUCGCAAGAAUGAAACUCAAAGGAAUUGACGGA
RNAcentral lists this ribosomal RNA (580 nucleotides) under uncultured bacterium. Its description in RNAcentral is "bacterial SSU rRNA". It matches the Rfam family "Bacterial small subunit ribosomal RNA", at positions 338 to 917 of the family's 1533-position model. The record is from RNAcentral.